This 253-nucleotide ribosomal RNA is filed under the name uncultured bacterium. RNAcentral describes it as "partial 16S ribosomal RNA". It matches the Rfam family "Bacterial small subunit ribosomal RNA", at positions 524 to 776 of the family's 1533-position model. The record is from RNAcentral.
UACGUAGGGUGCGAGCGUUGUCCGGAUUUAUUGGGCGUAAAGAGCUUGUAGGCGGCUCGUCGCGUCGGGUGUGAAAACUUGCGGCUUAACCGCAAGCCUGCACCCGAUACAGGCGGGCUAGAGUUCGGCAGGGGAGACUGGAAUUCCUGGUGUAGCGGUGGAAUGCGCAGAUAUCAGGAGGAACACCGGUGGCGAAGACGGGUCUCUGGGCAGUAACUGACGCUGAGGAGCGAAAGCGUGGGGAGCGAACAGG